Molecule: ribosomal RNA, 253 nt
Filed under: uncultured bacterium
Lineage: Bacteria
Description: partial 16S ribosomal RNA
Rfam family: Bacterial small subunit ribosomal RNA
Source: RNAcentral
UACGGGGGGAGCAAGCGUUGUCCGGAAUUAUUGGGCGUAAAGAGCUCGUAGGCGGUUUGUCACGUCGAAUGUGAAAACCCGGGACUCAACUCCGGGCCUGCAUUCGAUACGGGCAGACUAGAGUUCGGUAGGGGAGACUGGAAUUCCUGGUGUAGCGGUGAAAUGCGCAGAUAUCAGGAGGAACACCGAUGGCGAAGGCAGGUCUCUGGGCCGAUACUGACGCUGAGGAGCGAAAGCGUGGGGAGCGAACAGG